GGGAUAGCAGUGUUUUUGAUCUGCUGUUUCGUUUAUACUGCAGAAGCAGUAAAUACCGUACGUAAAUCCGGAAAGCUUGCAUCAACAAAAUACGUUGUACAGUAUCCAAGGCAAGGCAGGCAAAGCUCAAUUGCUGAAAUGGAUGUUGAAAGUGACGUUCAUUGGGAUGAAAUUGAAAGCAGCUUUUUUGGAAGUGUAUUUCAGAACAGAGUAGUUUAGACAGUGACAAUGCUGAUGCUACUUUAUUACGAUCUCGAGUAUGGUGCACAAUAGACACUACCAGGCAACUUCCCCUUUCUCCACCUAGGUUCCAACUUCAUUGUGCUUCUUCACUCUAUAUCAGUACUGAUCGUAAUGGUGACAAUAUACAGUUUUUGGGUAUUUUUUGGAUGAUGUAAUAUUAGAUAUGUUAACAAAAACAAACUGCUAUGCAGCUCAGUGUCUUCAAGCAUGCAAGUUUCAUGAAUCUCAUUACAGUAAGUGGCAUCCCACAACAAAUGACAAGAUAUACACACUUCUUGUCAUCAUAAUUUUACAUAGUAUUGUGUGUUAACCUGAACAGCUACUUUUUUCUUCCAAGAAAAUCUCUUAUUACCACAUUUUUUUUCCCUCCAAAAUUGACUUAUGAAAGGUUUUUAAUUUUGAAACAGUACCUUCACUUCUCUGACACUGAUACUAAUAACCCAGAAAAUCACCCAAGUCCAAAGCUGAAUAAGAAAAGGAUAUUUUUUUUUUAGUAUCUAAAUGAUAAAUUCAAGAUGGUUUAUACAACAAACAGAGAUAUUACUAUCAAUUAGUCUUAUAGUAUUCAAAGGACGACCUGGUUUGGUCCAGUACAUUCCUCGAAAAAGGGCCAGAUAUGGUAUCAAGAUGUUUAUGCUUUGUGAAUCAAAAUGGGAUACAUCUGGUCAAGUCUUAUGUACACAGGAAAAGGGAUAGUUGUUGAUGAAGAUUACAAAAUUCUUUUUACAGAUUGUGAUUGUCAUUAUUGAAACCUUUAGUAGACAAGGGCUAUGCAUAACAAUGGGCAAUUUUUACACUUGCCCAACAACUAGCAGACAUACUUAUUUUUCACACCACUGACAUAUAUGUGAUAGUAAAACUUAUAAGAAUAGAAGUGCCUCCAGACUUGAAGAAGAAAAAAAUUCAAGAAAGGAGAAAUCAUUACAUAUCAGCAUGGAAAGGUUACUGGAAUGUGCUGGAAGGACAAAAAUGAUGUAACUGUGCUAUCAACUGUUCGUAAUGAUUGAUGUUGAAAAAAGAAUAAUUAUUAAUUAUAACGACACCAUGGGUAGGUGUUG
Limulus polyphemus (Atlantic horseshoe crab) is the source of this 1301-nucleotide long non-coding RNA. RefSeq lists it as uncharacterized. The transcript has 3 exons. NCBI's taxonomy places the organism in Eukaryota, Metazoa, Arthropoda, Merostomata, Xiphosura, Limulidae. The record is from RefSeq and is a predicted model, not a curated record.